This 198-nucleotide ribosomal RNA is filed under the name uncultured bacterium. RNAcentral describes it as "partial 16S ribosomal RNA". It matches the Rfam family "Bacterial small subunit ribosomal RNA", at positions 328 to 539 of the family's 1533-position model. The record is from RNAcentral.
ACGCUCGACACCUACAGGAGGCAGCAGUGGGGAAUAUUGCACAAUGGGGGAAACCCUGAUGCAGCGACGCCGCGUGGAGGAAGAAGGUCUUCGGAUUGUAAACUCCUGUUGUUGGGGAAAAAGAGGAUGGUACCCAACAAGGAAGUGACGGCUAACUACGUGCCAGCAGCCACGGUAAUCUGAGCGGGCUGGCAAGGC